GCCGCCAUGGUGAAAUC
This 17-nucleotide transfer RNA is filed under the name Meliosma cuneifolia. RNAcentral's name for it is "partial tRNA-Leu". Lineage: Eukaryota; Viridiplantae; Streptophyta; Magnoliopsida; Proteales; Sabiaceae. RNAcentral also lists the same sequence under 1 other name. The record is from RNAcentral.